RNAcentral lists this ribosomal RNA (487 nucleotides) under uncultured bacterium. RNAcentral describes it as "partial 16S ribosomal RNA". It matches the Rfam family "Bacterial small subunit ribosomal RNA", at positions 28 to 507 of the family's 1533-position model. The record is from RNAcentral.
GAUGAACGCUAGCGAUAGGCUUAACACAUGCAAGUCGAGGGGCAGCACAAGGUAGCUUGCUAUCUGGGUGGCGACCGGCGCACGGGUGCGUAACGCGUAUGCAACUUGCCCUAUACAGGAGGAUAACCCGUCGAAAGACGGACUAAUACUGCGUAUGCUCACAACUUGGCAUCCAGUGGUGAGGAAAGAAAUUCGGUAUAGGAUAGGCAUGCGUCCCAUUAGCUUGUUGGUGAGGUAACGGCUCACCAAGGCAACGAUGGGUAGGGGAACUGAGAGGUUUAUCCCCCACACUGGUACUGAGACACGGACCAGACUCCUACGGGAGGCAGCAGUGAGGAAUAUUGGUCAAUGGGCGCGAGCCUGAACCAGCCAAGUCGCGUGAAGGAUGACUGUCUUAUGGAUUGUAAACUUCUUUUAUACGGGAAUAACAAGAGUCACGUGUGACUCCCUGCAUGUACCGUAUGAAUAAGCAUCGGCUAACUCCGUG